Molecule: transfer RNA, 58 nt
Filed under: Salmo salar (Atlantic salmon)
Lineage: Eukaryota; Metazoa; Chordata; Actinopteri; Salmoniformes; Salmonidae
Also listed under: 1 other name
Rfam family: tRNA
About the family: Transfer RNA (tRNA) molecules are approximately 80 nucleotides in length.
Source: Rfam by way of RNAcentral
UAGUUCAGUUGGUAGAGCAUGGUGCUUGUAACACCAGUAUAGUGGGUUUGAUUCCCGU